RNAcentral lists this long non-coding RNA (1357 nucleotides) under Mus musculus (house mouse). RNAcentral describes it as "predicted gene, 47769". Lineage: Eukaryota; Metazoa; Chordata; Mammalia; Rodentia; Muridae. The record is from RNAcentral.
UGCCAUUGACUAGACAAAGCUAAUGGAACCCAGAGGUGAAUUCAAGGUAGAUCUAGAAUAAACUUCCCAAAGCUGAAAGUCUAAAUUUUUUUUGAAGAAAAAAAAAAAAAAACAGUCUUUAAAACAAACAAUUACACAAACAGAUGUAAGAUCACAGAUCUGAUAAAUGGCCAUCAAGAAUAGUACCUGCUGCUAUGGAUUAACACAAGAGAUGGAACAAAUCCACCUUCAAGCCUUACAGAUGCCGUCCCCCUCUAGAAAGACUAUGAAGCCCACAAGGACCACAAGGAUUUUGGAAGCAUCAAGCGACCCUGACUCUACCCACAUGCUGGCAAUCUUUAUUUAUGGAGCUUCUCAACAGGAAGGAAGUUGAGCUUUUAAGGACAAAUGGAUCUUGCAAGGUUUUAAAGCUCCAUCAAAGAAAUGCAGUCUAAAAUGUUCCAUUCUACCAGGAAGAACGUCACCCAUGACACAAAGUUGGAACAAGGCUGCCCUUGGAUUGCGUGCCGGUGAAGACCUUCGUUGUUCCUUCUGGGUCAUCACACACUUAGCUUAGAGCACACUCAGAGUCGUGGGUUCAAGGACCACGGAGAGCAAGUUUUCUUCACCAAGGCUAGUGCUCUCCAGACCUUCUGUAGCUGCUGAGCUGGAAGCCACCUUCUUUCUAGAUUCUUCAGAGUCACUGUACUCGAGAAGAAGCCAAAGUAAUGACAAGUGAAGGAAGAAGAAAGAAGGCCUGUGAAGCACUGGUGAGCAUCAUAGGCCUUUAAGGGCUGGCUCGGAGCUCCUGCCCGGGAUCUCAGAGCACAGGCAGCUCUGUGCAGGAGCUUGACUGGCCACUUUAUAUGUUACUUUGUUGAAUUCAAAAGGAAUAGAAAAGUUCAAUGAAGUCCUUGUUGAUGCAUUUGUCCAAAGAAACAUUCGGCCAGGUGGAUUUUAAUUUCAUGUUGACUGUAGUAUUGUUUUAGCCGUGCUCCCUGUGGCUGUGGCUGCUCUAGUAGUAUCCCUUUCCUGGAAGGCUGCCUUCAAACACUCCAUUAUUAUAACAUUUCGUUUGCUUGUUUUUGAUUGGUUUGGUUUGAUUUUUUUUUUUGAGACAGGGGUUUUCUGUGAGCUCUGGAACUCACUGUGUAGAUCAGGCCAUAAACUCAGAGAUCUGCUUGCCUCUGCCUCCCAAGUGCUGGGAUUAAAGGUAUGUGCCACCACGCUUUAUCAUAAUUGUAUCAUCUUAACUCUAAUUCAGCCUACUGGGUUGAUUCAAAGGCAUAUUUUCUUUUCCUUUUAAGUAUGCUAAAAUUAAAGUACUGCCUUUUUAUGCCUUUUAUAUUGUUGAUAACCAGGACCAAAUACAAGAACA